This 322-nucleotide ribosomal RNA is filed under the name uncultured Chloroflexota bacterium. RNAcentral describes it as "bacterial SSU rRNA". It matches the Rfam family "Bacterial small subunit ribosomal RNA", at positions 28 to 351 of the family's 1533-position model. Lineage: Bacteria; Bacillati; Chloroflexota. The record is from RNAcentral.
GAUGAACGCUGGCGGCGUGCUUAACACAUGCAAGUCGAACGUGAAGGUGCAGCAAUGUACCUGAAAGUGGCGAACGGGUGAGUAACACGUAGAUAACCUAUCCUGAUGUGGGGGAUAACGACGGGAAACUGUCGCUAAUACCGCAUGUGCUUGAUGGCCUGGGAAUGUCGUCAAGGAAAGAUUUAUUGCAUUAGGAGGGGUCUGCGUCCGAUUAGCUAGAUGGUGAGGUAACGGCUCACCAUGGCGAUGAUCGGUAGCUGGUCUGAGAGGAUGGUCAGCCACACGGGAACUGAGAUACGGUCCCGACUCCUACGGGAGGCUG